CCUACGGGUGGCAGCAGUGGGGAAUAUUGGACAAUGGGGGGAACCCUGAUCCAGCCAUGCCGCGUGUGUGAAGAAGGCCCUCGGGUUGUAAAGCACUUUCAGUGAGGAAGAACGCCUGGUGGUUAAUACCCAUCAGGAAAGACAUCACUCACAGAAGAAGCACCGGCUAACUCCGUGCCAGCAGCCGCGGUAAUACGGAGGGUGCGAGCGUUAAUCGGAAUUACUGGGCGUAAAGCGCGCGUAGGUGGCUUGAUAAGCCGGUUGCGAAAGCCCCGGGCUCAACCUGGGAACGGCAUCCGGAACUGUCAAGCUAGAGUGCAGGAGAGGAAGGUAGAAUUCCCGGUGUAGCGGUGAAAUGCGUAGAGAUCGGGAGGAAUACCAGUGGCGAAGGCGGCCUUCUGGACUGACACUGACACUGAGGUGCGAAAGCGUGGGUAGCAAACAGGAUUAGAUACCCCGGUAGUC
Molecule: ribosomal RNA, 465 nt
Filed under: Vreelandella stevensii
Lineage: Bacteria; Pseudomonadati; Pseudomonadota; Gammaproteobacteria; Oceanospirillales; Halomonadaceae
Description: partial 16S ribosomal RNA
Rfam family: Bacterial small subunit ribosomal RNA
Source: RNAcentral